CGGCAGCACGGGUGCUUGCACCUGGUGGCGAGUGGCGAACGGGUGAGUAAUGCGUCGGAACGUACCGAGUAGUGGGGGAUAACGCAGCGAAAGUUGUGCUAAUACCGCAUAUUCUGUGAGCAGGAAAGCGGGGGAUCUUCGGACCUCGCGCUAUUCGAGCGGCCGACGUCUGAUUAGCUAGUUGGUGGGGUAAUGGCUCACCAAGGCGACGAUCAGUAGCGGGUCUGAGAGGAUGAUCCGCCACACUGGGACUGAGACACGGCCCAGACUCCUACGGGAGGCAGCAGUGGGGAAUUUUGGACAAUGGGCGAAAGCCUGAUCCAGCCAUGCCGCGUGUCUGAAGAAGGCCUUCGGGUUGUAAAGGACUUUUGUCAGGGAGGAAAUCCCCAGGGCUAAUACCCUUGGGGGAUGACAGUACCUGAAGAAUAAGCACCGGCUAACUACGUGCCAGCAGCCGCGGUAAUACGUAGGGUGCAAGCGUUAAUCGGAAUUACUGGGCGUAAAGCGUGCGCAGGCGGUUGGUUAAGCAAGAUGUGAAAGCCCCGGGCUCAACCUGGGAACUGCGUUUUGAACUGGCCAGCUAGAGUACGUCAGAGGGGGGUGGAAUUCCGCGUGUAGCAGUGAAAUGCGUAGAGAUGCGGA
RNAcentral lists this ribosomal RNA (642 nucleotides) under uncultured bacterium. RNAcentral describes it as "bacterial SSU rRNA". It matches the Rfam family "Bacterial small subunit ribosomal RNA", at positions 67 to 702 of the family's 1533-position model. The record is from RNAcentral.